RNAcentral lists this ribosomal RNA (253 nucleotides) under uncultured bacterium. RNAcentral's name for it is "partial 16S ribosomal RNA". It matches the Rfam family "Bacterial small subunit ribosomal RNA", at positions 524 to 776 of the family's 1533-position model. The record is from RNAcentral.
UACGGCGGGAGCUCGCGUUAUUCGGAAUUACUGGGCGUAAAGCGUCCGUAGGCGGCUUUGUAAGUCAGAGGUGAAAGCCCGGAGCUCAACUCCGGAACUGCCUUUUAGACUGCAUCGCUUGAAUCCAGGAGAGGUGAGUGGAAUUCCGAGUGUAGAGGUGAAAUUCGUAGAUAUUCGGAAGAACACCAGUGGCGAAGGCGGCUCACUGGACUGGUAUUGACGCUGAGGUACGAAAGCGUGAGGAGCAAACAGG